RNAcentral lists this ribosomal RNA (140 nucleotides) under Lecanora atra var. calcarea. RNAcentral describes it as "Tephromela atra var. calcarea 5.8S ribosomal RNA". It matches the Rfam family "5.8S ribosomal RNA". From Rfam's summary of the family: 5.8S ribosomal RNA (5.8S rRNA) is a component of the large subunit of the eukaryotic ribosome. It is transcribed by RNA polymerase I as part of the 45S precursor that also contains 18S and 28S rRNA. Functionally, it is thought that 5.8S rRNA may be involved in ribosome translocation. Lineage: Eukaryota; Fungi; Ascomycota; Lecanoromycetes; Lecanorales; Lecanoraceae. The record is from RNAcentral.
CUUUCAACAACGGAUCUCUUGGUUCCAGCAUCGAUGAAGAACGCAGCGAAAUGCGAUAAGUAAUGUGAAUUGCAGAAUUCAGUGAAUCAUCGAAUCUUUGAACGCACAUUGCGCCCCUCGGUAUUCCGAGGGGCAUGCCU